GNUAUUGGUNAUGGCAGGCAACUCUGACCAGCCAUGCCGCGUGCAGGAUGACGGCCCUAUGGGUUGUAAACUGCUUUUAUACAAGAGAAAACCCUGGUACGUGUACCAGGUUGAUAGUAUUGUAAGAAUAAGCAUCGGCUAACUUCGUGCCAGCAGCCGCGGUAAGACGAAGGAUGCAAGCGUUAUCCGGAUUCAUUGGGUUUAAAGGGUGCGUAGGCGGACUGAUAAGUCAGUGGUGAAAUCUCUUUGCUUAACAAAGAAACUGCCAUUGAUACUGUCGGUCUAGAGUAUAGAUGACGUUGGCNGGAAUAUGACAUGUAGUGGUGAAAUACUUAGAUAUGUCAUAGAACACCGAUUGCGAAGGCAGCUAACGAAACUAUAACUGACGCUGAGGCACGAAAGUGCGGGGAUCAAACAGGAUUAGAUACCCUGGUAGUCCGCACCGUAAACGAUGAUUACUCGUUGUUGGCGAUAUGACAGUCAGCGACCAAGCGAAAGCGAUAAGUAAUCCACCUGGGGAGUACGCCNGGCAACGGGUGAAACUCAAAAAAAUUGACGGAA
This 561-nucleotide ribosomal RNA is filed under the name uncultured bacterium. RNAcentral describes it as "bacterial SSU rRNA". It matches the Rfam family "Bacterial small subunit ribosomal RNA", at positions 359 to 918 of the family's 1533-position model. The record is from RNAcentral.